UUUCGUUCCCAUAUAUGGGGCACUACAUUCUUUUUAUUCCAAUAAAAGGAUCAAUUGGUAUAGAAUGAAAAAAUAAAAGUUCUCCAUGUGUAAUCCAGCAGUUAUUUUUUUACAAGUGUAUAAAGUUGGCAAUAGUCCCAUCCUCGCGUAAUCAUUUUUUAAAGGUGAGAGAUGCGGCUUCGCGUCACGUGCUUGCCGCUAGACCAAUGAGAUGGCAUAACGUCGGAACGACAUGUAAACAUGGUCUAAGAUGGCAGCGCCCUUGUCGUCACUAUCGAGUAGCGAAGAGGAUGAAAUUAUUGUCAGACCUCCACCAAAAGUCAGUAAAAGGGUUUAUAAAAAAUGCUAUAUGCAUCUCACGUCCAUAAAAAAAGAAGAAACGAAGGAUUUUACACGCACACGGUGGGAUACAUUUAGAAACUGCAUCAAACGGUGGCUUGACUUGCAGGGUGAGAGUCAGAAAAUAGCAGAAACAUACAAACAUUGUCUAGAAAUCGAGUUUGACCGUGUGCCCGAAGACGCAGGGUUUCACUCCACUUGCUACCGGCGUUUUAUUGACAAAAAUCGCUUGGAUGUGGCCGAGAAACGAGUUUCACGGUGCCCUGAAGCUGGUGAUGAUCAUAACACAGACCAGUCUGUGUCAUCGGGAAAUAGUAUUUCGUCAACGUAUUGCCCAACAAAAAAACUUAGGUCCAGUACCGGACUGCCGAUAGCUUGUUUGGGUCCUGUACUUCCUGCUUUGUGCAUAAUUUGCAAGAAAACGGACAAGUACAUCACUGUGGCAGGCAAACGCCAGAAGGACAAUCUUUCACAAGCGGAGACGCUGUCGGCAGGUAUAAAGCAUACGUUUGAACUUAAAGUUAUAUGUCAUAUACUGAGAACCAUAACUAACUUUCAAAUACAUCAAUAUUUACAUUACAUAUACAUUAUAAUGUUUAUAGUGCAGUCAGUUUUUGCAUACACAUAUGCAUGAACAGUGAGAACUGUUAUGUUUUUUUAAAUACAUAUUUAUUACAGGCCAGUUGCUCAAAGCAGCUGAGAUGAAGGAAGACACUAGCAUUCUUGUGCAUAUUAAAGACAAAGACUGUGUGUCUUUGGAAGUACGAUAUCACAAGUCCUGUUACAGACAGUACACCAGGUUCUUGACAAAGUCUACUAGAUUCCAUGCUGAAUCCUUUUGACUCACACCAAGAUGGCAUUGUGUGUCUUAGCUCUGGAAUAGUUGCAGCUAAAGAAAUUAUGAUGGAUUUGCUCACAGCUUCAGAAAAGGGGGAAAAUGCUGUUCAGGAAUUUAUGGACCAAAGACUGCUAUCACCAUCAGUUGACGUAUUUGCUCCCAUCAAAAAACUAAAACUAAAGACAUUCAGUGAUCAAGCCAAGACAAAUAAGAAAUCUGCAGCAGGCAAGGAAGUAAUUCUACGUGCAGAUAAGAAGCUUUUCUCCAGACGGCUCGUCAUAGGUCAAAGAAGAAAGAUAUACUUGAGGGAAAUUCUCUCCUACUCCUUGGGAACUGUGUCAUAUCCUUUAUCAAGUGCUGAUGGUUCUCUUGGAAAAACAAACAAAUCAGCUCUCAUGGAUGUUCUGGAAACCAAAGGUGGAGACUGUUUAGUUGACAGAGUACCAGUAAAUGGAGCUAUACUUUUUGAUGGCAUGGCAGUCAUUCAAGCCAUUCAGUCCAUACCAAGUACCUUCGGGGAGCUUGCUGACACUAUUCUACAGUACUUAGUCAAGCUUGCUCUCAAGCACAACUGUACACGGAUAGAUUUUGUGAUAGACAAGUAUCCAGAAAUUAGUAUUAAAAAUGUAGAAUGAUCACGCAGAGCUGUUGGUGGCACACAACAGGUAAAAAUUUAUGGACGGGAUCAAAAGACACAACACAAUGGAAGAAGUUUCUGUCGGAUGGGACAAACAAAGAAGCACUGGCAGAAUUCCUCUAUGUAAUGUGGCGAGACGCUGAUCUUACAAUUUUAGGAAACAGAGGAAAGAGCUACAUGUGAAGAUGGUUCUGAUGAAAGUGAUAAGGAUAGUAGUGAUGAGUAAAGGUGAUCUGUGUCACAGGUUACUUGGAUUUGAGCUGUAAUGAAGCUGCUGUAAAAUGUUUAAUAUUUGUCGUUAUUGAAAAAUUAGUGCAGCAGUCCAGCAUUUCAAGUCAUUUUAGCCAACUUGGACCAAAAACUGUUUUUGUCUUUAAUUUUGUGUGAUUCCUAAGUGCCUACUGAACAUUUUAAUGAAUAAAACAUAACAAAAAUGUUUAAGUUUCAA
Brienomyrus brachyistius is the source of this 2262-nucleotide long non-coding RNA. RefSeq lists it as uncharacterized. NCBI's taxonomy places the organism in Eukaryota, Metazoa, Chordata, Actinopteri, Osteoglossiformes, Mormyridae. The transcript is spliced from 2 exons. The record is from RefSeq and is a predicted model, not a curated record.